CCUCCCUCUCUCCCCUCCUCUCCCUCCCCCACCUCCCCUCCCCAGCCCCACAGCAGCAGGGAGACAAAGGGAGGGGCCGUGGGGACUCUCCAACUCUGACCCCUUCUUGGAUGCACAGACUCAGAGCAGGGUCUUCUGGAGGGGCCCUGCUUCCCUUCAACCCUUCUGCAGAUACCCACUUCCCAGGGCGGAUGGCACCAGCUGCGUUUCUUUUUACUUAUUCAUUUAUUUAGAGACAGGAUCUCAUCGUGUUGCCCAGACUGGAGUGCAGUGGCACAAUCACAGCUCACUGCAGCCUUGAACUCCGGGGCUCAAGCAAUUUCCCCACUUUGGCCUCCUGAAUAGUUGGGAUUACAGGCACGCGCCACCACACCCGGCUACUGUUUUAAUUUUUUGUAGAGAUGGAAUAUCCCUUUGUUGCCCAGACUGGUCUUGAACUCCUGGGCUCCAGCAAUCCUCCCUGCUCAGCUUCCCAGUGUGUUGAGAUCACAGGCAUGAGCCACUGCACGUGGCCCCUUUUCAUUUUAUUAUUUUUUUUGGGAAGAAAUUCGCAUAACAGGAUGAGCCAUUUCCAAGUGAGCGACUCGGCAUCUGUCGCACUCAGAGUGCCGUGUGACCCCCGUUUCUGGUUUCAAAACUCUUGCCAGGCGUGGUGGCUCACACCUGUAAUCCCAGCACUCUGGGAGGCCAAGGCAGGCAGAUCACAAGGUCAGGGGUUUGAGAUCAGCCUGGCCAACAUGGUGAAACUCUGUCUCUACCAAAAAUAUAAAACAUUAGCUGGGCGUGGUGGCGGGCACCUGUAGUCCCAGCUACUCAAGAGGCUGAGGCAGGAGAAUGGCG
This 840-nucleotide long non-coding RNA is filed under the name Homo sapiens (human). RNAcentral describes it as "HSALNT0392205". Lineage: Eukaryota; Metazoa; Chordata; Mammalia; Primates; Hominidae. The record is from RNAcentral.